AGAUCGGAGAGGGCACAGGGCCAGGGACUCUGGCCAGACAUAGGCCCAGGUCUGUGGCUGGCCAACUGCGGCUGUGGGGCCUGGCAUGUGUCUCAACAUGGCACUGGAGCUCUACAUGGACCUGCUGUCAGCACCCUGCCGUGCCGUCUACAUCUUCUCGAAGAAGCAUGACAUCCAGUUCAACUUUCAGUUUGUGGAUCUGCUGAAAGGUCAACUCCCACUGCUGCCUGGCAGGCCUGGUCCUGGGGGGAGGCAGGACACACAGAUUGCGGCUUUUCUUUUUUUCUUGUUUUUUGAUGGAGUCUCGCUCUGUUGCCCAGCAUGGAGUACGGUGGUGCUAUCUCGGCUCACUGCAACCUCUGCUGGGUUCAAGUGCGUCUCCUGCCUCAGCCUCCCGAGUAGCUGGGAUUAGAGGUGCAUGCCACCACGCCCAGCUAAUUUUUUGUAUUUUUAACAGGGGUUUCACCAUGUUGGCCAGGCUGGUCUCAAACUCCUGACCUCAAGUGAUCUGCCCACCUCAGCCUCCAGAGUGCUGGGAUUACAGGCGUGAGCCACCGCGCACAGCCUGAUAGGGGCGUUUCUGAGGAGCAGAGACAGAGACAAGGGAAUCACCCCAGAGGUCCACAGGGAAGGAAAAGAUGCCACGCGGCUUGUAGGCUGCAUCCUUGUCCAGCCUACCUUAGUCAGUGCUCACUAAUGACAGUCCCCACGCCACAGAUGAACAGGCUUUUCGAGGAGAAGGGGGAAGGAACAGUAGCUGGGACUCCCUGGGCUCCCACCAGGCACCCUGGCUUCCUUGUGGGAUUCUAGGACCUUGUGAACUCAGCACCUGCCCACCAGGUUGGCAAAGGGGGCAGAAGUGCACAGUCCGUCUACACCCAUCCUCCCCAGUGUUCAGAAAGGCUCAGGGCUCCACUAACCCUGAGUGAGGGUCAGAGGGGUGGGCUCCAACUCCAUCCCCAGCACAGAGGGACUCCAAAAGCUCAGCCUGCAAAAGCAGAAGCCUCUAGAACACAGAGGAAGAGACAGGGAAGCUGUGGAAAUGAACGGGCUGCGAGUGGAGCCCCCAGAAAUGUUUCCAACUGGAGGCGGCUGGUCCAGGAAGAGUUUCAGUUCCUGCCCCCACCUCAGGUUCCCUGUUAAGAUGACCCUGAUUGUGUCCGAGAAGCUUCCCUUUGGAUGUCCAGCUGUGUGCUGGGCCUGGCUUCCUUAAAGUGGAGACAGAGUGAGAGCGAUGGGAUUGCGGAUGGGACCCAGGCCCUCAGGGCUUCAGGUCACCACCACAGCAAAGGAUACAUUGACAUCAACCCCCUCAGGAAGCUGCCCAGCCUCAAAGAUGGGAAAUUUAUCUUAAGUGAAAGUUGCUGAUCCCAAAGAUAACAGGGAAGGAAGUUUCAGCUGAGAAGAUGGAGCAUGCAGUGGAAGAGGUGAAGAACAGCCUGCAGCUCUUUGAGGAGUAUUUUCUGCAGGAUAAGAUGUUCAUCACCGGGAACCAAAUCUCACUGGCUGACCUGGUGGCCGUGGUGGAGAUGAUGCAGCCCAUGGCAGCCAACUAUAAUGUCUUCCUCAACAGCUCCAAGCUAGCUGAGUGGCGUAUGCGGGUGGAGCUGAAUAUUGGCUGUGGCCUCUUUAGGGAGGCCCAUGAUCGACUAAUGCAGUUGGCCGACUGGGACUUUUCAACAUUGGAUCCAAUGGUCACGAGGAAAAUCUGCCGGGCACGGUGGCUCACGCCUGUAAUCCCAGCACUUUGAGAGGCCGAGGCUGGCAGGUCACUUGAGGCCAGGAGUUCAAGACCAGCCUGGCCAACAUGGUGAAACCCUGUCUCUACUAAAAAUACAAUUAGCUGAGCAUGGUGGCACAUGCCUGAAAUCCCAGCUACCCGGGUGGCUGAGGCACGAGAAUCGCUUGAACCCAGGAGGCAGAGGUUGCAGUGAGCAGAGAUUGCACCACUGCACUUCAGCCUGAGUGACAGAGAGGGGCAAAGUCAAAAAACAAACAAACGAACCAACCCACACACUCUCACUUUUAUCUUGUUUCUAUAAAUUAAUAAAUACAGCCUUUGUGAGUUGG
RNA transcript from Homo sapiens (human), 2070 nucleotides. It is a transcript of the gene named glutathione S-transferase theta pseudogene 2, with no coding region annotated. NCBI's taxonomy places the organism in Eukaryota, Metazoa, Chordata, Mammalia, Primates, Hominidae. The transcript is spliced from 5 exons. The record is from RefSeq and is marked provisional.